Molecule: unclassified non-coding RNA, 353 nt
Filed under: fungal sp.
Lineage: Eukaryota; Fungi
Description: partial internal transcribed spacer region
Rfam family: Eukaryotic small subunit ribosomal RNA (bases 1-45)
Source: RNAcentral
AGUCGUAACAAGGUUUCCGUAGGUGAACCUGCGGAAGGAUCAUUAACACUUUUUGGUUUUCCAAAAACCAAUUUUCCUUUCAACACCUAAUGUGAAUUGUUUUAUUUGUCGUGUGAAAUUUUCCCUUUCUCAAAAAGGCAGAGAGUGUGUUAGGAAAUUGAGACUAUGUUUCAAUUUCUUUUCCAGUCUAUCUUGCUUGGUUGGGUGGGAGAAUUUCACUCAACAAUUAAACCCCAUAAACCAAAUUUAAUGUAACCAAAAAAAUUACAAAAAAAAAUUGACAGAGAAACUCUAAGUUUCCUAAAUAACAACAAUAAAAAACAACUCUUAGCAAUGGAUAUCUUGGUUCUCGC